CCCAGUUGUUGUGGAGCACAUCACCAGUACCGGCUUACCUACCUUCACACUUAUUUGAGGAGAAGGAAAGUAAGCUUGUAUCUUUUUAGACACUGUUAUUUGGAUUUUUGUUCAGCGCAAAACCAAGUCUGUUGCAAAAAAUAUAUGUCCCAUAUCUGAAAUAGCUCCACCUUGCCUCUUUUUUUUAAAGAUUUAUUUAUUUAUUUAUUUAUUUAUUUAUUUAUUUAUGAUAGGCAUAGAGAGAGAAAGAGAGGCAGAGACACAGGAGGAGGGAGAAGCAGGCUCCAUGCUGGGAGCCCGACGUGGGACUCGAUCCCUGGACUCCAGGAUCGCGCUCUGGGCCAAAGGCAGGCGCUAAACCGCUGAGCCACCCAGGGAUUCCCAACCUUGCCACUUUUUCUCCACGUUUUCCCUCCCACCUCAUACCUCUCAACCCCCCAUUUUUGGUCUGUCUCUGGCUUCUCAUCUCCAAUUGAUAAAUCCUAUGCUUGAUCUGCUUAACACAUGAGAAGUGGAAGCGCAGAAGAUGCCCCCCAACCUCUGGUGGGUUAUUUAGCUUUUGUAAAACCUGGAGUGCCAUUUGCUUUUAGGUACCCAAGAUGGCAGCAGGAGCUUAUCUCUUGAUAAUCACUUCCAUUUCCAUAAGGAAGAACAUUUCAAGGGAGAUUGAGAAAAGAGAAUAUUUCCUUUAUAUCAUUUCUAAGGUUGUAAUGUUGAUGGAAAUUCUUCUGUGGGAUAAGAGGGGAAUGCAAGAAGAAGAGAAAAUAUCCCCAAAGACAUAAAUCCUCAGUUUUAUCAUGUAUGUUUAGAUUUCCACAUCAGUCUUGGUCUGUCUGUCAUUUCUACUUCUCCAGGUUUUUAAAGGGAGGAAAGGACUGGAGUGAAGAGAUGGGUCACUGGAUCCCGUGCCUUUCAGCCCAACGUGCGAUCCCGCUUCACUUCUCCUGUGGCUGGUGGCUCUGAGGAUAAGCGAGGGGAUGCAGGAAGCAGGCAUGGGUUCCUCUACUCUGUAAAGGGGCACAUCUGGGUAGCAGUGAGGGGGCAGGGGUGCACAGGGGCGGUGUGGGGGCAAUGGACUGUGGUCCUGUCUCCUUGCUUGGGCUUUACACUGUGUGAAUCCUGGACCCAUUUGUAUAAUCAGGAAUAAGGAGCAGAGGGAUUCUUUUGUUAGAAAUGUGUUUAUUUUAUAGUGAAUCAAGGAAAGGCAGUCAUGGUCUGCGAUGGCUGUUUGGAACUCGUGAUUCAAGGCAUGGCUCUUCCCAGACUGCUCGCCCUUUUGUAGAAGGUUAAGCUAACAAUGUUUGCUAUCUAGAAUGGGAUAAGUUACCCUUCCCUUAUUGCAGUUUCUUAUUCUCUCUGCCUCAUGUCUUAAAUCUGAAAGAAGAAGAUUGAGAUCCUUUUGAUUGCACCAAAAGUGUGAUUCGAACGGAACGGUACCUCAUAAGCUUCAUUUUCUUUCCCGGUCGGUUGAAAAAUGUUCUGCGUUAUUUUCUAGAAGGGUCAUCAGAGUUGACCAUUUUGUCGAGAUUAUCUAUUUUGAAAACAUUUCAACAUUCAGAACAGCAUGAUGAAUAAUAACUUAGAGCUUGACUCUCAGAGCAGUUUGUGGGUGUGCGUGUGCACACGUGUGUAUGCGUCUUCAUGUGUGUGCACAUGUGUGCUUGC
RNAcentral lists this long non-coding RNA (1665 nucleotides) under Canis lupus dingo (dingo). Its description in RNAcentral is "lncRNA (ENSCAFG00020017040.1)". Lineage: Eukaryota; Metazoa; Chordata; Mammalia; Carnivora; Canidae. The record is from RNAcentral.